RNAcentral lists this ribosomal RNA (518 nucleotides) under uncultured bacterium. RNAcentral's name for it is "bacterial SSU rRNA". It matches the Rfam family "Bacterial small subunit ribosomal RNA", at positions 145 to 645 of the family's 1533-position model. The record is from RNAcentral.
AACUCCGAGAAAUCGGAGCUAAUACCGGAUGCGAUCAGGGGCUGGCAUCAGCUCCUGCUCAAAGUCGGGGACCGCAAGGCCUGACACUACCAGAUAAGCCCGCGGCCUAUCAGCUAGUUGGCGGGGUAACGGCCCACCAAGGCUAAGACGGGUAGCUGGUCUGAGAGGACGACCAGCCACACUGGAACUGAGACACGGUCCAGACACCUACGGGUGGCAGCAGUCGAGAAUUUUUCACAAUGGGGGAAACCCUGAUGGAGCGACGCCGCGUGGGGGAUGAAUGGCUUCGGCCCGUAAACCCCUGUCAUUUGCGAACAAACCUGGUGGUUGAACAAACUGCCAGCUGAUAGUAGCAGAAGAGGAAGGGACGGCUAACUCUGUGCCAGCAGCCGCGGUAAUACAGAGGUCCCAAGCGUUGUUCGGAUUCACUGGGCGUAAAGGGUGCGUAGGCGGUGGGGUAAGUUGAGGUGAAAUCUCCGGGCUCAACCCGGAAUUGCCUUGAAGACUAUCCUGCUAGA